Molecule: long non-coding RNA, 8932 nt
Filed under: Brassica napus (rape)
Lineage: Eukaryota; Viridiplantae; Streptophyta; Magnoliopsida; Brassicales; Brassicaceae
Description: long non-coding RNA (BNAP_LNC004748)
Source: RNAcentral
CCCCUGACAUCAAGGCCUUGGGCACCCGCAUGGUGUCCGUGGGAACUAAACUCUAUCUAUUCGGUGGUCGCGAUGAGAAGAAACAGUUCGACGAUUUUUACUCGUACGACACGGUGACAAAUGAGUGGAAGUUCCUGACGAAGCUGGAUGAAGAAGGAGGACCCGAGGCUCGUACUUACCACUCCAUGGCUUCGGAUGAGAACCAUGUGUAUGUAUUCGGUGGAGUGAGCAAAGGCGGGACCGACAAGACACCCUUUAGGUUCAGGACCAUCGAGGCCUAUAACAUUGCUGAUGGGAAAUGGGCUCAGCUUCCUGAUCCUGGUGAGCAGUUCCCUAGGUUCGAGAGAAGAGGAGGAGCUGGAUUCGUUGUGGUGCAAGGAAAGAUUUGGGUGGUUUACGGGUUUGCAACUUCUCCUGAUCCUAAUGGGAAAAAUGACUAUGAGUCCGACCAAGUGCAGUUUUAUGACCCGGCUACUCAGAAAUGGACCGAAGUGGAAACUAAAGGAGACAAACCUUCUGCGAGGAGCGUGUUUGCACAUGCGGUUGUGGGGAAAUAUAUACUGAUAUUUGGAGGAGAGACCUGGCCGGACCCAAAGGCACAUUUGGGACCAGGGACGUUGUCUGAUGAAGGGUUUGCGUUGGACACUGAGACACUGGUGUGGGAGAGGUUUGGAGGAGGAGCUGAACCGGGUCAACUCGGUUGGCCCGGUUACACGACUGCCACCGUGUAUGGAAAGAAAGGUCUCCUCAUGCAUGGGGGAAAACGUCCGACCAACAACCGAACCGAUGAGCUUUACUUCUACGCAGUUAAUUCUGCGUAAUCAAUGCUCCCACCCUCGUGGUAUGUUUGUGUGGUUAAAAUUAUAUGCACCAAUAAAGGUUUGUGAGACCUACGAAAACAGCCAAUUUAUCUACCUGUGGCUGAUUAUGGUAUCUUACUAAAUCGAAUUAUGUGUGUUUGUGGUUUGGAAAUUGCUGUCUUUGGGAUAAUAUCUUUCCUUGUCUGUAAUUCUAAUAAUAAUUAUAUGAUAGUAUGAAAUUAUCUAUAAAUUUGUUGCAUCAUUUAAUUUCCAGUAAUCGUCUUGACAUUUAUUCACUAGAACCAUAUAUAUAUAUUUAAUAAGAUGAUGACCUAUAUCUAGACCAUGAAUGAUACACCUAAUUCGUUAUAUGAGCUCUUUUCAUUUGUCAUCAUAACAUUAUAACAUAAAGACACAAAAGAGUUUGAUCUGGAAUACAUGAACCAGCCUUAUUAUGAGAGAUUGAGAGCCUUAGAGAAAUUAAAAUUUCCCUACCAACGUGUGAAUAUACAAAGUAGAGGUUUUCACAAUAAUAUUUUACUAUUUUGUCUUGUUCGAUUAUUUAUUUAAAUUAUUUGAUUCUAUUAUGAUUGAUAGUACUAUGGAAACUAUCUACAAACUUGUUGCAUCACUUAAUUUUCGCGGAAUCGUACUUGACAUUUAUUCAUUGGAACCAUCUACUUUAUUAAAACAGAAGUACAAAAUAGAAAUACCCCUUAGUUUUACCACUUAUUUACAUUAGAAUGCCAUUGAGAUAUUUAUUGAAUCUAUAUUUAAGCAUGCUUGUCUUUUCCUAAUUUAAAUCAUAGAUUUAAGCAUUUAAUGUCUUUCCAAAAUUUAAAUAAUAGAUUUCCUUUAUCAAAUCAUAACCAAAAUAAUUUUCCUAAUAUAUUUUGUAUUAACAUACUCAAUAUUUUUAAUAUUUAUAAGUAAUAAAUAAUAAAAUAAAAAAUCACACAUCAUAAUCAAUUUAUAUAACAUAUAAAUAAAAUAUAAAAUAGUUUAUUCAUAUAUUAGUAUAAUGCUUUCAUAAUAUAAGUCCAAUUAGUUAUAAAUAUUGGAUUUGUUUAUAUGAUACAUUGUGAUAUAAUAGACGAUUAAAAUCACAAAAUAUAAUUAUUCAAAGUAAUAAAUAAAAUUGUUAUGUUUAAAAAUGUUAUAUUAACAGUUAUGUAAUAUAUUUUAAUUUACAUAUAUAUAUUAUACCAUUAGUACAAAGAAAAAAAUUAAAGUGAAAGCAAAUAUUUAUACGGUCACGGGUCAAGCUCUAUAAAUAAAUAACAACAGUAAGAUUAUUUUUCUUUAACAAAUUUCUUUUAAUUGAAAUUAUAGUUUCAAAUAUGUUUAUAUAUUUUAUGUAUUUAUAAAUUGGCCUAUUUUGGUGUAUAUACAAGAAGUGGUCGGUAAUUAGGUAGAUGGUCAUAACUUUUUCAUAUUUGCAGAUUUGGUAAGAAAAUGGUGGUGUAAUGACGUUAAUAUCCUUUUCACCGGAUCAUACUAAUAAUAGCUACGAAAAUGAAAAAAAAUAGAUAAUGUUCCUCAGAUUCAUCACAAAUUUUCCAUUUCUCACAUCAAACGUAAGAAAAAAACAAGAAGAUAAAGCAAAGCAACCACAAAAAAAAAACAGUAAGGCACAUCUCUUCCUCACCAAACGCAAUGCCAAAGUAAAUCAAACAUUAAAUAGAUAUAAAAUGAGAAGAAGAAUGAAGACGAGGUUUCAGGAGCACGGCGGUGGAGCUGAGGAUUACAAUGAUGACAUCAGAGGCGAAGGCAUAGGCUUACGGAAAUACGGCGGCGGAGUAGAUCAGAGGCUUACGAACACGACGGCAGAGCAUAUGCGAGUGACAUACUUGUAUUCUUCACAUUUAUAGAGAGAUGAAUCAAAGGAUAUGUCACCUGAAAAAUAGAUAUCUAAACCCUUGGAUUUUUACCAAAAAAAAAUAGAGAAAAAUUCAGUAUCAAUUGAAAAAUUUAGAGUACAUGAUUUCAUCAGAACUUUCGUCAAUAAAGAAACAGUUCCUUAUUUAGAGAAAAUGAAUGAUCACAUCAGGAGGAAGAAGAGAGAAAGAGAAAAAUACAGAAAGAGAGAUAGCUAAAGAGACGAAGAGUUAGAUUCUGUUUCAAAAAAAAAUCUAUAACACGAAAGAUAAAGACAAAAGUAUCAGAUUUAUGUUUGUGCAUAUCUACAAGAUAGAAUAGGGUUACUAUUGACAUUAUGAAAAAUCAACAGUAACAUAUCCAUAUACCUAAUUAAAUUUGUUUUUGUGGUCAUCCACCGCAAAUUCCCUUAUAAAUUUAUUUUCUUUGUCUUUAAGGAAGUUUAGAUUUUGAAAUUGAAAAAAAAAUAUGACCGCCUGUAUAUUAUUUUAAUUACGAAAUUUAAAAUUUAUAUCAGAAUAUUUUAUUAAACUUUUAAUUUUUAUUUUUAUUAUAACUAUAAAGAUUAAUUUUCAAUAUGAAUUUAUGUUUAAUAUUCCAAAUACGUCAUUUAAUAUAAACAAAAAAAACUAAAAACAUAAAAUAAAUACCCGCCCGGUCGGGCGGGUCAACGUCUAGUAUAUAUUCAAUUAGAUGACAACAAAUGUAUAGAACAUAUAGACGAUAAAUGAUACUCCUAAUUUUUUAUAUAAGUUCCUUUAACUUUCAUUAAAUUACAACACCAUAACAUAAAGCCACAAAAGGAGUUUUAUAUGGAAUACAAUGAACCAGCGUACUGUGAAAUAAACAAAAGAAGAUUUCUGAAUAGUACUUUACUAAUUUCAUGUUUUUGAAAUAAUUUUAUAACAAUUUAUCUUAAAACAGUUACUAUAUAAAAUGACGUGAAGUAAGUUUAGCCCUAAUUUGUUUUGUACUUUUACAGAAUAUGUAAAAACUACGAAUUAGCUAUGACGACCUAAACCUACUAUAGUACUAUUUAGACCAUAAAUGAUCCACCUAAUUCACUAUCGUCAUCAAAACAUAAUAAUUGAAUGUCACAACAAAUGAUAGUAGAUUAUAGAUUAUAGAUUAAAGAUUAUUUAUAUUGCUGGAAGAGGAGAUCUAGAUAGUAAGAUAGGCCCAACAUUUGGGAUAUCAUGGACUCAAUUCCGAUUGUUUUAUUACAAAACUAAAAAAAAAAAAGAUGCCUCAGUUUUCUCGUCUUUGUUCGUUAUUAUAGUAACUCUUUUAACUGACUCAGGCUUUGAUCACAUAUUGCAACAUAAUCUUAGACAACCAGAAAGGCCAUUGAUUCUCCAUCUCCGAUUCCAUCUUCUUGAUAUCAUAAAGACUCCAUUCUGAUCUGCGUCAACCUCAUGGCAGCCAUAGUUUCUUGUAUAUCAGUAAGAUGUCUGUAGUGUUUAGAGGUGAUGGAUCUAGAUUUUUUUUACUUGGGGCAGAAAUUAAUUAGUAAAGUAUAAUCUAAGAAAUAAAUUAGUAAACAAUAGAUUUUGUUAGAAUACUGAAAGUAUAUAAAAAACAGAAAAUAAUGAUUGUGUGUUGAGUUUAAUCUAGGUAGUAUAGAAUUUUUUAAAGUGUUUUCAGCCGAUACUAGAUCUUACUAGUUGUGUCUUGGGUUUAAAUCUCGAGAUUUUAAUCUUGUACUCAUAUUUGGCUAAUACGAGAUGAUGUUGAGAAAUAAAAUUAAAGUGUGAAGUGGAACCAUUAUAUCCUAUGUUUUUAGACCCUAUAUGUCUCAGUCUUCACAUGUUGCUAUUGUUUCGUAUGGUUGACAUUUGGACGGAACCUUUAACCACAUGUCAUUACAUACUGAACCGUAGAAAAUCGAUUACAACAAAUUAUUUAUAAAAUAAUAUAUAUUUAUUUAAAACUGACCACAUAUUAUUUUAUUCUUUUAUCCAAUUAUACUUCACUUAAACCAAUUUAAUUUAAAAUAUGAAACCAUUUAACAGAAUUUGUCAACCUUUUCUUCUUUUUAACUCUUUUAUUAUUUCUCAAGGCAAAAUUAUUUUGAAAUAAACUAAAUAUAAUUGCAAAGUAUGUGAAUAUAAUAAAGCACCACAUUUUCAAAAGAAUAAACGAAGACACAAAAAACACACACAUAUAUAACUUCAAACAUGUUGAUUUUUUUUUGAAAAGUGUUUUUUUGCAGCCCACUUUUUCAGAUUUGAGGCUGAAUUGUUAUACCCAAAGGUAAACCAGAUACCAAAAAAUUUCUAUUUUUCAAAUACCAUUCUCGAAAACAGGAAGAGGUACACGCUGGUUCCAGAAUGAAUAAGAGCAUCUCCAACUUCACUUUAUUUUUUAUUUUAAAAUAGAGUUUAAAGUAAGAAAUACUCCAAUGGUAUUAUAUUUCUCACUAUAUAAUAGAAUGAAAAAUAAGUUUACUCCAAAUAUAGAGUAAUUUGUUUUUUCUUUGUUCAUCACUCUAUUUUCUACUCUAAAAUAGAGUACCAUUGGAGCAAAUUCAAACACUAUCAUAAAGUUACUCUAUUUUAGAGUAAAAAAUAGAGUAAACCAUUAGAAAUGGUCUAAGACCAUACCCGAGUAGAAUAAGGACAAUUGAAAAUAGGUGAUAAUGUGAUUCAGCCUGAUUUAAGCAUAGAAGAAAUCCUCUAAUAUUCAGAGACGAUUUGAAAAAUCCCGACAUCCGAAAUAAUGAGGAGAACCUCACCUUUUCGAAAUCUUAGUUAAUGAUUAAGAACGGUAAUCAAUUCCAAAAAAAUUCGAAAACAGAUUAAUGGAAUGUGCCGGUUUAGUGGAGGGGCUAAUAUUAUAGUAGGUUGACUUUGAAUUUUUUGUUCAAAAACAUGUUUGCAACAAAAUCUAAAUUUCUGAUUUUCGGAUUGAAUUAAUAUAUACUAUAUUAAACAGUAUAAAAUAAGCUCAAAAUUUUUAUUUCUUAAAAUGAAGUUUAGAAUGAAUGAAAACUGAAUGAGUUAAAAAUGCUCCAACACCUGUAAAAAAAGUGAGACUGGAUGGUGAACACUUCCACAUUCACAACGCUGUCACUUGAAAGGGCUCUUUCAACAAAACUUGUCAUUCAAAUAGGUUCGAUUAACUGUAACAAACUUUUUUAAAAUAUAUAUUUGUUUCAAAUAUUUUACUAUAUAAAUUAGUAGUGCUCCGAGGAACUUAUCAAACAUAUCUUAUUACUCACUAUUUCACUAAAAAUGGCAUGCAACUGCAGUUUAGCGAAUGUUCUAGGAGUAGUUUUAGUAUUCACUCUGUUCCACGACCCGAUCACCGUGGCCGGACAAAAUAUUCCGGCGGUGGCAUUGUUCACGUUCGGCGAUUCCAACUUCGACGCCGGAAAUAGAAUGUUCCUCGCAGGUACAAGAUUUCCUCAAAACUUCUGGCCUUACGGUAAAUCUCGAGAUGACCCCACUGGCAAGUUUUCGGAUGGCAGAAUCGUCCCUGACUUUAUCGGUGAGUUAAUUGUUUGAAGUAAAUAUUUUUAAACAAGCAAUUCAAAGAUAUUGCAUAGCAUAGCAUUUUAUAGAUGUGUGAAAUCUUGAAAUACAACGGACUAAGGAUCCUAGUUUAUAUUAUGCUUUUCUUAAAUAUUUGUUGAACAUGUUCCAUUUGAAAAAAAUGAAAUAAAAAUAGGGACAGAACUCUCAAACAUUAAGAAAAAAACAUAGAUUUAUUUUUGGUUUUGUUUUUAAGUAACCAUAUAUUUAUUUACUAAAAUGACAGCAAAAUUCAUGGGGAUUCCACACGAUUUACCGCCAGCGUUUGAACCUGGCGCCAAUGUCUCACGAGGAGCUAGCUUUGCUGUAGACUCUGCUAGCAUACUUGGGACUGCCAGAGACUCUGUAACUUUCCUUAAUUAUUUAUGUAUAUUUAUAAUGCACGCGAACAAAGGAAGUAACUAUUGUUAUUCAUAAUUGAUUAGUACUGUCAUCAUUUUUAUUUUUUUAGUACUGUCAUUAUUUUUUGUUAAAUAAUUAUAAGCAAAAUUCUGUAAUGUUUGUCCACAAAAAAAAAUUAUGUAAUGCAUGAUUUUAAUUCUUUUUUAUAGUUGAAUCUGAAUAACCAAGUGAGGAGAUUCAAUCAGAUGAUAUCAAAUUGGAAAGAAGAUUACAUUACGAAAUCAUUGUUUAUGAUAUCCAUUGGUAUGGAAGAUUACUAUAACUUCACGAAAAACAACCCUACCGCCGAUGGUUCUGCUCAACAAGCUUUUGUCAUUUCAGUCAUUAGCCGACUAAGAAACAAUAUCGAGGUAAGUACUUUCGAUUUUAAAGUAAUGAGAAAAUUAGUUAGAAGUAUAUUAAUGACAUUCGUUACACUAUAAUUAAUUUGAAUAUUACAGAUGCUGUAUUCGUCGGGAGCUAGUAAAUUCGUCGUAUAUACGUUACCCGCACUGGGUUGCUUUCCUAUCGUGAGACAGGAGUUUAACACUGGAAACGACUGUUACGAGAAAUUGAAUGAUUUGGCUAAACAACACAACGCUAGACUCGGACCGAUGCUGAACGAUCUAGCGAGAGCCAGAUCGGGUUUCCAGUUCACAGUUUUCGAUUUCUACAAUGUCAUUCUUCGCAGGACACAAAGAAACAUGAAUUUUCGUAAGUAUUAUGUACCGUUACAAAAUAUAUACACUAGUUAAUAUAAAGGAUUUGGAACUAGUAUUUGAUAAUAUUUGUUGUGACUGACUAGGUUACUCCUUUACGAAUGUAUCGUGCUGCGGUAUAGGGUCGCACAACGCCUUCGGUUGCGGUAGACCUAACGUGCGCUCAAAGCUAUGUGAGUAUCAAAGAUCUUAUCUUUUCUUCGAUGGACGUCACAACUCAGAGAAGGCACAGGAACAGUUCGCUCAUCUUCUCUUUGGAGCCAAUCCAAACGUUAUCCAACCCAUGAACAUUCGUGAACUUAUUACCUAUCCUGUUAAUACAAAUAUGUCUGAGUUUUGGAAAGAACCAGUAGGGAGGAAUUUGUUGUUGGUCCAUGAAUACGACGUCAAUGCUAGUGUAUCUACGUAGUUUCGAGCUUAAAAGUUAGUGUCUACAUCAGUCGCUAGCUAAGCGGUGUGUCCGUUGAAACUCUAAAUAAAAUGUUAUCCUCUGUUUUUUGUAAUAAAAUAAAAGUGCAGUGUUUAUUUUUUAUGGUUUUAUGAAAAUACACAUAUCGUCUUUAUUAAAAAUUAAAGUGAACUGUAGGAACCUAUAAAUCAUGAAAUCCAAAUUAGCAUUGUUUCGUGUUAUUAUCGAAUUUCAAAAGUGCUCGAAUUCUAAUUAUUUUUUUUGUUUUCACAAUACUCCUUCUUGAAGAAAAGAAUAAAUUGUUUUUUUUUUCAACUUUGCAACUAAGUUAAAAGAUCAGCUCUUGUUUUUUUUUUCUCUCUCUCUCAGAAUUCAGUCACAUGGCAAUGACAUCUGAGAAAUCAGAAUAAUGCGAAGGACAAACCAUCGCUUGUUUGGAUACAUACAUCUGGCAUCUGAUUUAUACAUACGACCCACUACCAUAUCCUUUAUACAAACCACAAUAAUAAUUUUAUGUCUACAAUUCAUCACAAAAUUUCAAAAAUAAUUCAUGACAGAAAUUCAUAAUAAUAUUGUUUUUUUAUCAACCAAUUGAUUAAUAAUGAGAAAAGCGUUUAUGGUCUUAGGCCCAAAUACAAAAAUAAAGAGGCUUUCGCUAAUGAGUCUGCAGACCUAUUAAUAACCCGGAAAAUGUAAAUAAAGCGACAAAAUACGAGGGUGAUGUCGGAGGAGAAACCAAAGAGUCGACGUCUGAGAGAACUCCAAAGAAGUUCGAAGGUCAUAAUAAUAUUGUUAUAUUAUGAAUUUCGUACUACUACCCACUACCAUAGUCUUUAUACUAACGAUAGUUGUUUGCACUGUUAAGAUAGUUAUAUAUUGUAACGCUCAAAACAUAUUUGUUUUAACUGUUUUAUUAUUCUGUAUAAGUUGCAGUGUCAUGCACAGAACAAAAUUUCGUUGAUUUUGAACUAUAUGUUGGGGCAUGUCCAAAACAUAUAUGUAAGAGCAUCUCCAAUGUAAAAUUCCAUUUUUUUCUUUAAAAUGGAGUAAAAGUAAAAAUAGAGUAAAAUUACUCUAACCCUAUUCCAUUUUCCACUCUAUAAUAGAAUGAUGAACAAACAAAAAAUAGAUUACUCCAUUUAUGGAGUAAACUUUGUUAUGGAGUGAGAUAUGAAGUUGGGUUGUAACAUUUUUUACUCCAUAGUCAUUUUU